Molecule: ribosomal RNA, 296 nt
Filed under: uncultured bacterium
Lineage: Bacteria
Description: partial 16S ribosomal RNA
Rfam family: Bacterial small subunit ribosomal RNA
Source: RNAcentral
UUGAUCCUACGGGAGGCAGCAGUGGGGAAUAUUGGGCAAUGGGCGCAAGCCUGACCCAGCAACGCCGCGUGAAGGAAGAAGGCUUUCGGGUUGUAAACUUCUUUUGUCAGGGACGAAGCAAGUGACGGUACCUGACGAAUAAGCCACGGCUAACUACGUGCCAGCAGCCGCGGUAAUACGUAGGUGGCACGCGUUAUCCGGAUUUAUUGGGUGUAAAGGGCGUGUAGGCGGGAAUGCCAGUCUGAUGUGAAAACUAUGGGCUCAACCCAUAGCCUGCAUUUGAAACUGUAUUUCUU